Molecule: ribosomal RNA, 253 nt
Filed under: uncultured bacterium
Lineage: Bacteria
Description: partial 16S ribosomal RNA
Rfam family: Bacterial small subunit ribosomal RNA
Source: RNAcentral
UACAGAGGGUGCGAGCGUUAAUCGGAAUUACUGGGCGUAAAGCGUGCGUAGACGGUCAAGUAAGUCGGGUGUGAAAGCCCCGGGCUCAACCUGGGAAUUGCAUUCGAGACUGCGUGGCUAGGGUGCGGAAGAGGGAAGCGGAAUUUCCGGUGUAGCGGUGAAAUGCGUAGAUAUCGUAAGGAAGACCAGUGGCGAAGGCGGGUCUCUGGACAGUUCCUGACGCUGAGGCACGAAGGUCAGGGGAGCAAACGGG